AGAUUUUCAGAUAUCAGUAUUGUGAACAUGAAGUUUGAAACAAAAGAAGUUAAAAGCACAUUCAAUAAGCUAAAAAGUAGAAAGCAUAACAGCACAACAUUAGGAAUAGCAGUAAUAUACAAGAAUUAGCUGUUAGCUGACUUGCUAAUGUCAAAAGUGAGUUUCUUAAGGGUUGUAAACACUGUUCUUGGAUUUAGCUAUAAUUCAGUAGUAUAAAUAGCAAACGCCAAGUUGCAAUCCAUAUGUGAUGGAAAUACAUACUGAGGGUGGAUUUUAAACCUUUUAAAAAUAUAGGCAUAUAAGAAUGGUAAACCCUGGCCAAAUUCUAAAUCAUGAGAGUGAAUUAUAGAACACGUUUCACAAAUUUACUGUGAGGAUUAUAACAGGCUUUAGCAUCACCUAUUACCUGCUU
Molecule: unclassified non-coding RNA, 412 nt
Filed under: Hevea brasiliensis (rubber tree)
Lineage: Eukaryota; Viridiplantae; Streptophyta; Magnoliopsida; Malpighiales; Euphorbiaceae
Source: RNAcentral